RNAcentral lists this ribosomal RNA (440 nucleotides) under uncultured bacterium. Its description in RNAcentral is "partial 16S ribosomal RNA". It matches the Rfam family "Bacterial small subunit ribosomal RNA", at positions 338 to 795 of the family's 1533-position model. The record is from RNAcentral.
CCUACGGGUGGCAGCAGUAGGGGAUCUUGCACAAUGGGGGGAACCCUGAUGCAGCGACGCCGCGUGGGUGAAGAAGCGCCUCGGCGCGUAAAGCCCUGUCGGCAGGGAAGAAAGUGACGGUACCUGAAGAAGAAGCCCCGGCUAACUACGUGACAGCAGCCGCGGUACUACGUAGGGGGCAAGCGGUGUCCGGAUUUACUGGGUGGAAAGGGGGCGCAGACGGCGAUGCAAGCCAGGAGUGAAAGGGCGGGGCCCAACCCCGGGACUGCUCUUGGAACUGCGUGGCUGGAGUGCAGGAGGGGCAAGUGGAAUUCCGGGUGUAGCGGUGAAAUGCGUAGAUAUCAGGAGGAACACCGGUGGCGAAGGCGGCUUGCUGGACUGUAACUGACGUUGAGGCCCGAAAGCGUGGGGAGCAAACAGGAUUAGAUACCCGUGUAGUC